AAGAAGCCUUUUUUGAAUUUGGCUUGCUUAUAAAUGAACAAGACACCCCCUAUUUAUACUAGCUUAUGGAUGAUUCUAGAUAUGAUUCUAGAUAAUGUACAAGGAAGAUUCUAGCAACCUUAUCUUCUAACAAUACGCUAGAAUAUUUAGAUAUUUCCUAUCUUCCCACAACAUUCUAGAAUAUCAUUAGAUAUGUCUACUAGAUAAAUAUCAAGGAUACUACACUAGGAUAUUCUAGAAAAUUCUAUUUUUUUCCAAAAAAUCAAAUUUAUUUUCUUCAUACUCCCCCCUAAAGUGAUUUUUUGAAAACUACUCCAAGGUUGUCACGGAAGAACUCGAACGAUGCUUUAGCAAGUGACUUGGUGAAGAUAUCAGCGAUAUUCUUCUGACUUCGUAAUUCCAAAGUAUUGAUAGUUCCAUCAAGAACCUUUUCCCGAAUAAAGUGAUGUUCCACCUCAAUGUGUUUAGUUCUUCAUGGAAUACUGGAUUGUUUGCAAGCUUGAUGGCACUUUGAUUAUCUCCAUAAAUCAUUGUUGGCUUUGAUAUAGGUAGAUGCAAGUCUUCAGCAAGUAUUUAUAGCCAUACACAUUCUUGAGCAGUGAGAGUGGGUGCUUUAUCCUCCACCGCCGUGGUUGACAAGGAAACCGAGUCUUGCUUUUUGCUACACCAAGAAACACUUGUUCCACCACAGAGGAAAAUAUAUCCCGAUGUUGAUCUUCAAUCAUCCAAAUCUCCACCAAAAUCAGCAUCCGUAUAACCAGCUAACACCAAAUUAUUAUUCUUCUGGAAGAACAAGCCUGUGUUUGAUAUUGAGUUGAUAUACUUCAGAAUCCUCUUUGGAGCUUCUAAGUGAGGCUUUCUUGGCCUUUGCAUAAAUCUGCUGAUAUUCCACCGAGAACGCAAUGUCCGGCCUUGUAAUAGUCAAGUAUAUGAGACUUCCAACAAGAGCCCGAGAAGGCUUGGGAUCUGCAAGAAGUGAACCUUCGUCCCGCCUUAACCUUGUACUUAUCUCAAGAGGGGCAGAACAUGUUUUGCUUUUCUUCAAUCCAAACAUGUCAAUAAGUUUCUUGGCAUAUCCUUCUUGAGUGAUAAAAAUCCCUUUGUUCAUGUUUGUCACCUCUAAGCCAAGAAAAUGGUGUAGCUCUCCCAACUUCUUGAUGUCAAACCUUAUGGAAAGCUCAUCUUGAGGCCUAGCAAUUUCAUCUUCACUAUUUCCUGUUAUUAUAUCAUCCACGUACAAAAGAAAACCAUAUGCGAGUCUCCUUGUUUUUUAACAAAUAAGCUAGGAUCUGAUUGUGAUGCAUCAUAGCCACAGAAAUGUAGAUACUGAGCAAUUUUUCCAUACCAUGCUCGUGGAGCUUACUUGAGGCCAUAGAGGGCCUUCUUAAGUUUGCAGACAUGAUUAGGAUGUAAGUUAGAGAGAUACCCGGGUGGUUGCUCCAUAUAAACAUCUUUGUCAAGCUCUCCAUAUAGUGGAGCUUGCUUGAGGCCAUAAAGGGCCUUCUUAAGUUUGCAGAUAUUAUUAGGAUGUAAGUUAGAGACAUACUCGGGUGGUUGCUCCAUAUAAAUACCUUUGUCUAGCUCUCCAUAUAAGAAAGCAUUCUUCACGUCAAGUUGCCAUAACUUCCAACUAUGCGAGGCUGCCAGGGCUAGCACAACUCAAACAGAGAUCAUCUUAGCCACCGGACUGAAGGUCUCUUCAUAAUCUUCAGUGUACUUUAGAGAAAAUCCUCGGGUAACCAGCCUUGCUUUAUGUCUAUCUAUGUUGCCAUCUGCUCAUCUUUUGAUUUUGUAAACCCAUUUACAAGAAAUGGGUUGUACAUCCUUCGGCGUUGGUACAAGGCUCCAAGUUUGAUUUUUUGUCAGAGCCUCCAUUUAUCAUCCAUAGCAACCUCCCUCCUUUAGCUUCUUCGAAUGAGGAAGGUUCUUCAUCAUCAAUUGGUCCUGCAAAGAAAUAGGAAUACAUACUGAAAAAUUUUCAUCUCUGAAGUGAGCUGGCUUGAUAAUAGUUCCUUUUGGCCUUCCCGAACCACUUGAAUCAUCUUCUUCCUGAGUUUCAUGUUGAUGAGGUCUAGGACUCUCCCUUUCUCUUAACUCCUCGGCAUCUGUAUUAUCUAGAGAAGUACCCGCAAUGGGCCAGCUUGAAUCUCCAUUAUUUAAGGUUUUUGAACGUGCUCCAUCCAAUGCAGCUCCAUAAUACAAUGACACUUCGUCGAAUAUGACAUCCCUUGAGGCAACAAAGAGAUGAGUUUUAGUAUCCAUACACUUCCAUCCAUUUUUCCUUUCAUCAUAUCCGACAAAGAUGCAUUUCCUUGCCUUGGCAUCUAACUUGAUCCGUUGGGAAUCCGGAAUGUGAACAUAACAAAUAGAGCCAAAAACCCUGAUGUGUUUCACGCUAGGCUUUUCUCCAAACAUUAAUUCAUAGGAAGACUUCAUAUUAUUUGGAGAAAACGGUAUCCUAUUAAUUACGUACGUUGCACAUUUCAUGCCUUCGACCCACAAGGCUCUAGGUAAAUUCUUGGCAUGAAGCAAGCUGUUACAUGUCUCAGUUAAGUGUUGAAUCUUUCUUUCAGCCACUCCCUUUUAUUGUGGCGUAUAAGCGCAUGUCAGCUCUCUUUUAAUGCCAUGUUGACGACAAAAGGAAAGAAACUCAUC
This 2655-nucleotide long non-coding RNA is filed under the name Nicotiana benthamiana. RNAcentral's name for it is "long non-coding RNA (NBEN_LNC009352)". The record is from RNAcentral. Lineage: Eukaryota; Viridiplantae; Streptophyta; Magnoliopsida; Solanales; Solanaceae.